Molecule: ribosomal RNA, 253 nt
Filed under: uncultured bacterium
Lineage: Bacteria
Description: partial 16S ribosomal RNA
Rfam family: Bacterial small subunit ribosomal RNA
Source: RNAcentral
UACGAAGGGGGCAAGCGUUGUCCGGAAUUAUUGGGCGUAAAGCGCGCGCAGGCGGUCCCUUAAGUCUGAUGUGAAAGCCCACGGCUCAACCGUGGAGGGUCAUUGGAAACUGGGGGACUUGAGUGCAGAAGAGGAAAGUGGAAUUCCAUGUGUAGCGGUGAAAUGCGUAGAGAUGUGGAGGAACACCAGUGGCGAAGGCGACUUUCUGGUCUGUAACUGACGCUGAGGCGCGAAAGCGUGGGGAGCAAACAGG